UCAACCCUAUCACGACAUUGACACACAAGCAAAGAUAGCCCUUGCCUGUUCUGCCAUCCACAACUUCUUAAGGAUUGAUGACGUUGAAGAUGUUUGUGAGGAGGACGACUUAGAUAGUAGUGAUGAUGAGGUUAACCCUACGCAUGUUGAUGUACCUGAAGAUGAAACUCCAAAUGCUCACAUAUCUUUCACAAAUCAGGAAGUGUGGUCUAAUAAGAGGAAUGCGAUUGCUGAUUUAAUGUGGGCUGAUUAUCUUCCCAAUCAGAAUGCGGGAAUUGAUUUCGAUUGAAAUCUUGUUUUUUUUUCUAUGUAAUGGAUAUAAACUUACUAGACUUUCAUAUGUAGUAAUUG
Molecule: long non-coding RNA, 351 nt
Filed under: Olea europaea (common olive)
Lineage: Eukaryota; Viridiplantae; Streptophyta; Magnoliopsida; Lamiales; Oleaceae
Description: long non-coding RNA (OEUR_LNC003856)
Source: RNAcentral